GACGAACCGUGCGAACGUUGUUCGGAUUCACUGGGCUUAAAGGGCGCGUAGGCGGGUUUUCAAGUCUGGGGUGAAAUCCUCUCGCUCAACGAGAGAACUGCCCUGGAUACUGGAGACCUCGAGGGAGGUAGGGGCAUGUGGAACUUCCGGUGGAGCGGUGAAAUGCGUAGAUAUCGGGAGGAACACCUGUGGCGAAAGCGGCGCACUGGACCACUUCUGACGCUGAGGCGCGAAAGCUAGGGGAGCAAACAGG
Molecule: ribosomal RNA, 253 nt
Filed under: uncultured bacterium
Lineage: Bacteria
Description: partial 16S ribosomal RNA
Rfam family: Bacterial small subunit ribosomal RNA
Source: RNAcentral